UACGUAGGGCGCAAGCGUUGUCCGGAAUUAUUGGGCGUAAAGAGCUCGUAGGCGGUUUGUCGCGUCUGUCGUGAAAGCCCACGGCUUAACCGUGGGUCUGCGGUGGAUACGGGCAGACUAGAGGCAGGUAGGGGAGAAUGGAAUUCCCGGUGUAGCGGUGGAAUGCGUAGAUAUCGGGAGGAACACCAGUGGCGAAGGCGGUUGCCUGGAGCUUUGCUGACGCUGAUGCGCGAAAGCGUGGGGAGCAAACAGG
RNAcentral lists this ribosomal RNA (253 nucleotides) under uncultured bacterium. RNAcentral's name for it is "partial 16S ribosomal RNA". It matches the Rfam family "Bacterial small subunit ribosomal RNA", at positions 524 to 776 of the family's 1533-position model. The record is from RNAcentral.